This 378-nucleotide unclassified non-coding RNA is filed under the name plant metagenome. Its description in RNAcentral is "partial contains 5.8S ribosomal RNA, internal transcribed spacer 2, and large subunit ribosomal RNA". The stretch from base 1 to 105 matches the Rfam family "5.8S ribosomal RNA", at positions 50 to 154 of the family's 154-position model. The record is from RNAcentral.
GAAAUGCGAUAAGUAAUGUGAAUUGCAGAAUUCAGUGAAUCAUCGAAUCUUUGAACGCACCUUGCGCUCCUUGGUAUUCCUUGGAGCAUGCCUGUUUGAGUAUCAUGAAAUCUUCAAAGUAAAUCUUUUGUUAACUCAAUUGGUUUCUACUUUGGUAUUGGAGGUCUUUGCAGCUUCACACCUGCUCCUCUUUGUUCAUUAGCUGGAUCUCAGUGUUAUGCUUGGUUCCACUCGGCGUGAUAAGUUAUCUAUCGCUGAGGACACUGUAAAAGGUGGCCAAGGUAAAUGCAGAUGAACCGCUUCUAAUAGUCCAUUGACUUGGACAAUACUUUUAUGAUCUGAUCUCAAAUCAGUUAGGACUACCCGCUGAACUUACGC